UGGAGCGUGUGGUUUAAUUCGAUGCAACACGAAGAACCUUACCAAGGCUUGACAUGCUAGUGGUAGGAACCCGAAAGGGGGACGACCAGCCUUUGGGUUGGAGCUAGCACAGGUGCUACAUGGCUGUCGUCAGCUCGUGCCGCGAGGUGUUGGGUUAAGUCCCAUAACGAGCGCAACCCCUGUUCCGUGUUGAUUUCCCACAGGAAACUGCCCAGGAAUUCUGGGAGGAAGGUGGGGAUGACGUCAAGUCAGCAUGGCCUUUAUAUCUUGGGUA
RNAcentral lists this ribosomal RNA (274 nucleotides) under uncultured bacterium. Its description in RNAcentral is "partial 16S ribosomal RNA". It matches the Rfam family "Bacterial small subunit ribosomal RNA", at positions 933 to 1215 of the family's 1533-position model. The record is from RNAcentral.